Molecule: non-coding RNA, 138 nt
Organism: Microcebus murinus (gray mouse lemur)
Lineage: Eukaryota; Metazoa; Chordata; Mammalia; Primates; Cheirogaleidae
Source: Rfam
GGGGAGGGAGGCUGCGGACGAGCGCGGGGAGGAGUUUGCGAGGGGAGGCAGCUUGCAGGGGCUCCCCCAGUUCUGCGCUGCGAGCCCGGGGCACAAAGAGCCCUCUGCACUCGCGCCGCAGGGCCCGCGGAACCGAGG